Molecule: long non-coding RNA, 326 nt
Filed under: Hordeum vulgare
Lineage: Eukaryota; Viridiplantae; Streptophyta; Magnoliopsida; Poales; Poaceae
Description: long non-coding RNA (HVUL_LNC000226)
Source: RNAcentral
GUUUGAGUUGUAACGAAAUUGAACUAUUUAUGUUGAUUUAUUUUUGUUUAUGUUUGAUUGUUUUGCUUAGUUUUGAGUGCAUAUGUUGUUUGAGAGCGAUGGCGCGUGCUUCAUUUUACAACGCCUACUGGAAAUAGGCGCGCGCGUUGCAUUUUACAGCGUCAGCUGGAGCCAGCGUUGGCCGUCGCGCCAAAACAGGCGAAAGACGCGCCGCAAACUCAAUUUUAACGCGCCACGCAUUGGACGGUUGUUGGAGAUGCUCUAAGCAUAGAUCACCGGUGUCCAUGUGUUUAGAGGGAAGGGCGGGUGGUGUACCGAAACAUAAG